GCAGGUGAGACUUCAGACAAAGUAAAGAAGACAACCAUGCCAUCUUUCAACACUGUGGGAUCAUCACCAAAUCGUAAACCUUUGGGCAAGGAUGAUAACAUAA
Long non-coding RNA from Telopea speciosissima, 103 nucleotides. RefSeq lists it as uncharacterized. The transcript has 2 exons. The record is from RefSeq and is a predicted model, not a curated record. Lineage: Eukaryota; Viridiplantae; Streptophyta; Magnoliopsida; Proteales; Proteaceae.